AGCAGCCGCGGUAAUUCCAGCUCCAAUAGCGUAUAUUAAAGUUGUUGCAGUUAAAAAGCUCGUAGUUGAAUUUCGAGACCGGUUUAUUGGUCGUGCUUUUGUACGUACUGGUAUUAUUGGUCUCUCCUUUCUGACGAAUCAUAAUGCCAUUAAUUUGGUGUUUUGGGGAAUCAGGACUGUUACUUUGAAAAAAUUAGAGUGUUUAAAGCAGGCUCACGCUUGAAUACAUUAGCAUGGAAUAACGAAAUAGGACGUUUGAUUUUAUUUUGUUGGUCUCUAGGAUCGACGUAAUGAUUAAUAGGGAUAGUUGGGGGCAUUAGUAUUCAAUUGUCAGAGGUGAAAUUCUUGGAUUUAUUGAAGACUAACUACUGCGAAAGCAUUUGCCAAGGAUGUUUUCAUUAAUCAAGAACGAAAGUUAGGGAUCGAAGACGAUCAGAUACCGUCGUAGUCUUAACCAUUAAAACUAUGACCGACUAGGGAUCGGAUGAUGUUAAUUUUUAUGUACUUCAUUCGGCGCCUU
RNAcentral lists this ribosomal RNA (520 nucleotides) under uncultured Glomus. RNAcentral's name for it is "SSU rRNA". It matches the Rfam family "Eukaryotic small subunit ribosomal RNA", at positions 569 to 1089 of the family's 1831-position model. The record is from RNAcentral. Lineage: Eukaryota; Fungi; Glomeromycota; Glomeromycetes; Glomerales; Glomeraceae.